AUUGAACGCUGGCGGCAUGCCUUACACAUGCAAGUCGAACGGUAACAGGUUAAGCUGACGAGUGGCGAACGGGUGAGUAAUACAUCGGAACGUGCCCAGACGUGGGGGACAGCUCGGCGAAAGCCGGAUUAAUACCGCAUAAGCUCUGAGGAGGAAAGCGGGGGACCGUAAGGCCUCGCGCGUUUGGAGCGGCCGAUGGCAGAUUAGGUAGUUGGUGGGGUAAAGGCUUACCAAGCCUACGAUCUGUAGCUGGUCUGAGAGGACGACCAGCCACACUGGGACUGAGACACGGCCCAGACUCCUACGGGAGGCAGCAGUGGGGAAUUUUGGACAAUGGGCGCAAGCCUGAUCCAGCAAUGCCGCGUGCAGGAUGAAGGCCUUCGGGUUGUAAACUGCUUUUGUACGGAACGAAAAGGCGCCUACUAAUACUGGGUGUUGAUGACGGUACCGUAAGAAUAAGCACCGGCUAACUACGUGCCAGCAGCCGCGGUAA
RNAcentral lists this ribosomal RNA (493 nucleotides) under uncultured bacterium. RNAcentral describes it as "partial 16S ribosomal RNA". It matches the Rfam family "Bacterial small subunit ribosomal RNA", at positions 30 to 523 of the family's 1533-position model. The record is from RNAcentral.